This 123-nucleotide ribosomal RNA is filed under the name Diaphorina citri (Asian citrus psyllid). The record is from RNAcentral. Lineage: Eukaryota; Metazoa; Arthropoda; Insecta; Hemiptera; Psyllidae.
GCCAGCGGCGAUGCGAUGAUUGAAUGCACCAGAUCCCAAUUGAUCACUGAAGUUAAGCAACGUUUUGCCUGAUUGGUAUGUAUUCAUAUGGGUGACCAUUUGAGCAGUUGUCUGUUGCUGGCU